AGCUCGGCUCCUCCUGUGAAAUACUCAGCAACUGCAUCUCCGGACUCCCAGAGCUCGGUGGUCCCCGAGGCUGUGGGACUCUCUCCAGCAAGUCAGCACCUGAGGAUCCCUGGUCCAAGCUUCAUGCCUCUAAAUCUGAGAGCCCAGAAGAAAAGCCUGGAGCCAUACACUCACCUGGCUGAAGCCAUAAAGAGCUGAGAAAUCUGUCUUCAGCCAUUUGUUGAUCUUCUUGAACGGGCACUGCAGGUGCACAGAAGUCACCCUAAAGGAGGUUUUGAAUGAAAUCUUAAAUAAUGCCAGUCGGCAUCGUGGAGUGAAAGCAACACGGACCCUGUGAAGAUGCCACUGGGGUGUGUUGGCCCUUCCUCUGCUGAGAUCUCCCCCAGACCUGAGUUCCUUAUCCAGAAC
Long non-coding RNA from Acomys russatus (golden spiny mouse), 408 nucleotides. RefSeq lists it as uncharacterized. The record is from RefSeq and is a predicted model, not a curated record. The transcript has 3 exons. NCBI's taxonomy places the organism in Eukaryota, Metazoa, Chordata, Mammalia, Rodentia, Muridae.